UUCUUUUUGGCAGAAUAAAAUGCGUUUGAUUUAGGUUCAAACAAUAAAAUUUUUUUAAAAGGUA
This 64-nucleotide transfer RNA is filed under the name Bathyomphalus contortus. RNAcentral's name for it is "tRNA-Leu". Lineage: Eukaryota; Metazoa; Mollusca; Gastropoda; Planorbidae. The record is from RNAcentral.